RNAcentral lists this ribosomal RNA (737 nucleotides) under uncultured soil archaeon. Its description in RNAcentral is "bacterial SSU rRNA". It matches the Rfam family "Archaeal small subunit ribosomal RNA", at positions 1 to 748 of the family's 1478-position model. The record is from RNAcentral.
UCUGGUUGAUCCUGCCAGACCCGACUGCUAUCAGAAUAGGACUAAGCCAUGCGAGUCAACGUAGCAAUACGUGGCAUACGGCUCAGUAACACGUAGUCAACAUGCCCAGGGGACGUGGAUAACCUCGGGAAACUGAGGAUAAACCGCGAUAGGUCAUAGUAUCUGGAAUGAUUUAUGGCUCAAAUCUACAUGGCCUCUGGAUUGGACUGCGGCCGAUCAGGCUGUUGGUGAGGUAAUGGCCCACCAAACCUAAAACCGGUACGGGCUCUGAGAGGAGAAGCCCGGAGAUGGGCACUGAGACAAGGGCCCAGGCCCUAUGGGGCGCAGCAGGCGCGAAACCUCUGCAAUAGGCGAAAGCCUGACAGGGUUACUCUGAGUGAUUUCCGCUAAGGAAAUCUUUUGGCACCUCUAAAAAUGGGGCAGAAUAAGGGGUGGGCAAGCCUGGUGUCAGCCGCCGCGGUAAUACCAGCACCCCGAGUGGUCGGGACGAUUAUUGGGCCUAAAGCAUCCGUAGCCGGUUCUACAAGUCUUCCGUUAAAUCCACCUGCUCAACAGAUGGGCUGCGGAGGAUACUAUAGAGCUAGGAGGCGGGAGAGGCAAGCGGUACUUAGUGGGUAGGGGUAAAAUCCGUUGAUCCAUUGAAGACCACCAGUGGCGAAGGCGGCUUGCCAGAACGCACUCGACGGUGAGGGAUGAAAGCUGGGGGAGCAAACCGGAUUAGAUACCCGGGUAGUCCC